GAGAGGUGACUGAGUGGUUGAAAGUGCUGGUCUCGAAAACCAGUGUAGGGGAAACUCUACCGAGGGUUCGAAUCCCUCUCUCUCC
Molecule: transfer RNA, 85 nt
Filed under: marine eukaryotic metagenome
Rfam family: tRNA
About the family: Transfer RNA (tRNA) molecules are approximately 80 nucleotides in length. Their secondary structure includes four short double-helical elements and three loops (D, anti-codon, and T loops).
Source: RNAcentral